GUCCACGCAGUAAACGAUGAAUACUAGCUGUAUGCGAUAUACUGUAUGUGGCAAAGCGAAAGCGUUAAGUAUUCCACCUGGGGAGUACGUUCGCAAGAAUGAAACUCAAAGGAAUUGACGGGGGCCCGCACAAGCGGAGGAACAUGUGGUUUAAUUCGAUGAUACGCGAGGAACCUUACCCGGGCUUGAAAUGCAGAGGAAUGACUUGGAAACAGGUCCGCCAGCAAUGGUCUCUGUGUAGGUGCUGCAUGGUUGUCGU
RNAcentral lists this ribosomal RNA (259 nucleotides) under uncultured bacterium. RNAcentral describes it as "partial 16S ribosomal RNA". It matches the Rfam family "Bacterial small subunit ribosomal RNA", at positions 793 to 1055 of the family's 1533-position model. The record is from RNAcentral.